Molecule: long non-coding RNA, 4153 nt
Organism: Triticum aestivum (bread wheat)
Lineage: Eukaryota; Viridiplantae; Streptophyta; Magnoliopsida; Poales; Poaceae
Exons: 2
Source: RefSeq, a predicted model, not a curated record
UGAUGUUCAGAGCAUUUGUUGCAAAUUGCUCUACUGUUUAGAUGGAUCGUUACGAACUAACAGAGCCCAAUGCAUGCAUGCAUGGUGCCUCAUCAUGCUCUACAUAUUUUAUAACAAAGACGGAGAGCAAGACAGACAGUUUCUUGCCUAGCAAUGAUGCUGGUUUGGGUGUCCUUAAUUAGGAAUUUAGGAUGGCCUUUUGCGGAUGUAUUUGAUCGUCGCUGACUCCGCUUGGAUAUGUUACAUUGUAUAACCAUCUCAUCCAUCCAAAGUUUCAGUAGCAGACUCUUGCAUCAUAAUCAAACAUGAUGCUUGUGUGCUACUUUAGGUACACUUCAAAAUACCAUGUCUGCCCAAGAGAACUGUCAAUAUAGCGUAAUAUCAUGUAAUUGGAGUUUUCUCAAUCCUCCCAUAUGUCCAUCCAUAUCUGAGAUCAGGAGAAGUGAAUGACGAGCUAGGUGAGAUGACAGAAUCAACAAUUAUCUGAUACCAGAAGUAAUGCGAAACCUAAUCUUGCCAUUAAAUUAUUGUGCUGAUUUGACCAAAGUUUUUGACUUUCUCUCUUUUUUGAUGUUUGUUGGAUAUCGUGUAGAUAUCAAGCAAUCAUGCAUCAAAUAGCACCUUGAAUUUGUUUGGACCAACAAAUAGUAAUUUGAUUUGGUUUUGACCGCUGAUAUGCAUGCUUGUGAUCUUUACAGCCGAAGUGCAUACUAUAUAUGUUCCCUCAGCCCCAAUAUUUCAGGGAUAUUUUGUGUCACUUUUAUUUUUGAGGGCCAUACCAGGUUUUUCAUAUUCUUCAGGUUUUAAUAGUUAGUAUUAGCAUACAUUACCCCUGUCGGUUCAUGUGAGUGCAAGUGUUUACCUGAAGUGAACUACUCCCUCCGUUAUAAGGCUUUUUAGAGAUUCCAAUGCAGACUACAUACGGAGCAAAAUGAGUGAAUCUACACUCUAAAACAUUCCUAUAUACAUCCGUAUGUAGCCCGUAUUGAAAUUUCUAAAAGGUCUUAUAUUUAGAAACUGAGGGAGUAGUUAAGAAAAGCCCCAACUUGUAUUAGAACAAUUAAGGAAAAAGUCUUGGGUUUGAUUUGUUAGAUCGUUUGUUUGGGUGUGUAAAGGCUAUCCUAGAGACCUAGACUUGCCUAUACUUCUUUGCCCAUAUCAUGACAGCUUAACUUCUCACUGGGUGAUAUGUGAAGCAAAGGUCAGGUCCAACACAACUGGGCAUGCACCAUCAACCGUGUUCUGAAAUUACCAGCACAAAUGGGGCUAGCAAGCGUCCUGCGUCCCCAAUAGUGGGAUGGGUCUUGUGAGUGCCUUCACUGUAUAAAUUUUGUCUGGCAUGGGUGCAUUCCUCCUCCUCAUGUCAUGCAGUCGUCACCCUUGUCCAACCAUAUGCUUUUUUAUACAUCUUGACCAUCGUCAUAAUAAUCCCCCAGGCCAGCAAGUUGCAGCAGGGAGUUCAGUGGAGUUGUGGCAAAGUACAAAGCGCAUCACUUGGAGAUGAAGCCACUCAAGCUCCUCCUGCACUGCAUCCUUCCCAUCUAUUUUGUGCUCAUGUUUGCGAACUGCUUCAUCAGAAAAGAAACGCAUCAAUCAUUUCAAGUUACUUGUGCUGGCUCGGUUUGCAAGAGACAGAAAUAAUUUGGCAGGCAUCACUAUUAUGACAAUGAUUCAUGACACUAUCUAUGACGGCGACGCUACGCUGUUGAGUAUUUGGGUAAAAUACCACCCUGCUAAGUAAGCUGUAGCCCAAUGGGUAGGAGACACAUCUGCCUAUGGCAGAGUGUGGCUUAUGUGUCAGCUGGCAGAGAGAGAUUAGUUUGUGUUGAUGCAGUGUGGAUAAGAUGUUAAUCUCUUGAGAUGAUAUGCUAAGUUGCUAACCACUACCAGCCCCUAAUAUUUGGUGAGAUGCUUAUCUUGGUGCGUGCAGGUGCAGGACCCUCCUGAUGAUCAGAAUCUUCCAGGUAAGUAGUAUCCUAACAGCUCAAUCUGUGGCCUCAUAUAAAAGAAGGGGAAAAGGGUAGAGAUGAUAGUCAAUCAUUCCAUGGUGCACACACUCAUGCAUGCACACACUACUCGCUGCACUUUUAUCCUGCCUUUUCUUGCUCUCUAUCUAGCCAUUCUCUUUGGGAACAGUUUUUGUGCAUGCCGUGUCUCUUUAUGGCAGGCCAUGUCCAUGUAAGAUUGGGCAAAGUCCAUGCACCACUUGAGCUAGCUAGCAGAUGAAGUGGUGGCGUGGUGCUGGUGGUGGCAUGGCAGCAGCAGCACACGUAGAGGUGGGGGUAUCUAAUAAUCCCCGGAGAGGGGAGCCCGCGAAUCAUACAAAGGGAGCUUCCAUCUGCCGGUGACGACCUGAUGACGCAGUUGUGCAUCUGCAUUCCAUUCUCUGUGUGACAAAGUAAUAUGCAGGGAACAAGUCGACAGAAUCUUCAACGAUAGUACGAGUGUCUUUGCACUAUCAGUUGCACAUGUUUCAUCUUCGUAUUCUUGCAUUAGGACUUAUAAGAGCAGUUGGUUAGGAGCAGAGUAAUCGUGCCUGAAUUAAAAAGACCCAUGGUUUCUUCUAGAUAGAUAGACAGGUCAAAGACUGUUGUGUGCCUGAAUUAAAGCUACCAACUAUAUCCCCAGAUCAGAUAACAUGAUGAUAAUAACCUAAAUUUGCAUGGAAAAAUGCUACUCUUUGCAUGGGUGCACAUAUGAAUUAAAAAAAAGACGUUUUUCAACUUCUGAAAAAUUGUGAAAAAGUGCAUACGUGCAGAGUAUGGAUAGAAACUUGUCUUUGCAUUUUUUUUGUAAAAACAAAGACCACCUACGCCCUGCAAAAAAAAAAAAAACGCCUCGACACAACAAGUGAAGUAGCCUUUUGUGUUCGAACUUUGUUUUUUUAGUUUCGCAUACCUACGACCUGCAAAAUAAACUCUUCACAACAAGUGAAGUAGCCUUUUGUGUUGGGAGUUUUUUGUUUUUGUUUCGCACAGUUUGCAAAUUUAUAGGGACAAGUUUCUAGUAUUAUUUACAUGUAUGUUUCUUUUGUAACUUUUAAAAACUUGGGGAGUGUGAUUCUUUUUUUUAAGUUUCUAGUACUCUAUUAUUGUGUGCAUGUAUGUUUUUUCUUCAUAACUUCUCAAAUCAUGGAAAAUGUUUUUUUUUUCUUGGUAAAGAAACGGGCUCAUAUAUAUCCACCCAAUGCCCUGGAAAUUUAUGGUCUCCAUAUGCAUGCUGCCUCAACUGAACUUUCCAUUUGAGCUCGGGCAGUAUGUGUUUGAUUAGAUACAGUUUCAUCUGGGCUAAUCUGGCGUGCAUCGGCAUGGCAUCGGUGGGUCGUCCACUUCGUUCUCUGCCUAUUUUGGGGGCUGGAAUGUGCUCUGGCCUCUGGGCUAUCUAUCCCCUCUGCUACUACUGUUGCAAGCACCAGUGCACCACCAUGUAUGGCCUCGGCGGCACUGCACUGCACUGUCAUCCCAACAUGCCAUCCUCUGCCAGCGGCACCACGGUGGAUUGGUGGGUGGUGUUGGAGGGAGCGACAGCAGGCCAAGUACGUUUCUGAUGGAUGAUUGCUUCAUCUUCUCACAUACUCCAGCUGCAUCUAUCUCUCUCGUAUUGACGGCCAGAAAGGUACCCAACCCAUAAAUGCAUGUUAACCACCGACGGUUACAGCUUGAAAACGGUGUUUGCUUGUAGCUAGACUGAACAUCGUUUGCAAGACCAUUACAAGGGACGGAGGGAUCAUUGUCGUCGGCAAACAAUCGGAAAGAUUGCGAGGGCGGGAGACAUAGACCCCCCACACACGUUGGUGUCUUCUUGGUGCAGCGUUCGUGCGGGUCUAUUUUUCUUGCGUACUAUCGCUGACGUGUAAUGCUACUAACUAGCUUCGAUCGACCACUAUCGGUGAUUCCUCUGCCCUCCGCUGUCUAGUGUCUACCUACGGUGGAUGGAUACCUUGUGGAAUUACCAACCUGUGUCUCCUGUGGAUAAGACACACUACCACACGAGUCCACACUGCUUUGAAAAUGGCAGGCCGGACCAAAUUAGCAAACAAUCAAUUGCAGAAAAUACAGGUGCAGAGGCCCCACUCUGUUUUUCUGUGAAAUGAAGAUUGCAAUGCUUCCUAAGAACGAAACCUUCAACUGUGAUGAAAAUCAGUCUCCCAACA